CCCUUAGAUGUUCUGGGCCGCACGCGUGCUACACUGACCGGCGCAACAAGUUUCUUUCCUUGGCUCGAUAGGCCUGGGUAAUCUUUGAACGCCGGUCGUGAUGGGGAUAGAUCCUUGCAAUUUUUGAUCUUCAACGAGGAAUUCCUAGUAAAUGCGAGUCAUCAUCUCGCGUUGAUUACGUCCCUGCCCUUUGUACACACCGCCCGUCGCACCUACCGAUUGAAUGGUCCGGUGAAGCCUCGGGAUUGCGAAUGCUUCGUGCGGACGCGAGAACUUGGCUAAACCUUACCACUUAGAGGAAGGAGAAGUCGUAACA
RNAcentral lists this ribosomal RNA (316 nucleotides) under uncultured eukaryote. RNAcentral's name for it is "partial 18S ribosomal RNA". It matches the Rfam family "Eukaryotic small subunit ribosomal RNA", at positions 1470 to 1796 of the family's 1831-position model. The record is from RNAcentral.